RNAcentral lists this long non-coding RNA (8997 nucleotides) under Citrus x clementina. RNAcentral describes it as "Citrus clementina (C. clementina) long non-coding RNA (CCLE_LNC004797)". Lineage: Eukaryota; Viridiplantae; Streptophyta; Magnoliopsida; Sapindales; Rutaceae. The record is from RNAcentral.
GACCUUCGGGGGCUGAUUUUUGGGCGCGGGUGUGCCCGUGGCCUAUUUUUGGCACACGGAGGCCGCCCGCAAAGUCUGGGGCCAUUCCGAGUCCGGAGGACGAACUUCGCCCACGCCCCCCACCAAGGCUAUAGCCCACCCGUUUUUUGGCCAUUUUUCCGCUGGAGGGUCUUGGCGCCCCGACCUUCGGGGGCUGAUCUUUGGGCGCGGGUGUGCCCGUGGCCUAUUUUUGGCACACGGAGGCCGCCCGCAAAGUCUGGGGCCAUUCCGAGUCCGGCGGACGAACUUCGCCCACGCCCCCCACCAAGGCUAUAGCCCACCCGUUUUUUGGCCAUUUUUCCGCUGGGGGGUCUUGGCUCCCCGACCUUCGGGGGCUGAUUUUUGGGCGCGGGUGUGCCCGUGGCCUAUUUUUGGCACACGGAGGCCGCCCGCAAAGUCUGGGGCCAUUCCGAGUCCGGCGGACGAACUUCGCCCACGCCCCCCACCAAGCUAUAGCCCACCCGUUUUUUGCCAUUUUUCCGCUGGGGGGUCUUGGCGCCCCGACCUUCGGGGGCUGAAUUUUGGGCGCGGGUGUGCCCGUGGCCUAUUUUUGGCACACGGAGGCCGCCCGCAAAGUCUGGGGCCAUUCCGAGUCCGGCGGACGAACUUCGCCCACGCCCCCCACCAAGGCUAUAGCCCACCCGUUUUUUGGCCAUUUUUCCGCUGGGGGGUCUUGGCGCCCCGACCUUCGUGGGCUGAAUUUUGGGCGCGGGUGUGCCCGUGGCCUAUUUUUUGCACACGGAGGCCUUCCGCAAAGUCUGGGGCCAUUCCGAGUCCCGCGGACGAACUUCGCCCACGCCCCCCACCAAGGCUAUAGCCCACCCGUUUUUUGGCCAUUUUUCCGCUGGGGGGUCUUGGCGCCCCGACCUUCGGGGGCUGAAUUUUGGGCGCGGGUGUGCCCGUGGCCUAUUUUUGGCACACGGAGGCCGCCCGCAAAGUCUGGGGCCAUUCCGAGUCCGGCGGGCGAACUUCGCCCACGCCCCCCACCAAGGCUAUAGCCCACCCGUUUUUUGGCCAUUUUUCCGCUGGGGGGUCUUGGCGCCCCGACCUUCGGGGGCUGAAUUUUGGGCGCGGGUGUGCCCGUGGCCUAUUUUUGGCACACGGAGGCCGCCCGCAAAGUCUGGAGCCAUUCCGAGUCCGGCGGACAAACUUCGCCCACGUCCCCCACCAAGGCUAUAGCCCACCCGUUUUUUGGCCAUUUUUCCGCUGGGGGGUCUUGGCGCCCCGACCUUCGGGGGCUGAAUUUUGGGCGCGGGUGUGCCCGUGGCCUAUUUUUGGCACACGGAGGCCGCCCGCAAAGUCUGGGGCCAUUCCGAGUCCGGCGGACGAACUUCGCCCACGCCCCCCACCAAGGCUAUAGCCCACCCGUUUUUUGGCCAUUUUUCCGCUAGGGGGUCUUGGCGCCCCGACCUUCGGGGGCUGAUUUUUGGGCGCGGGUGUGCCCGUGGCCUAUUUUUGGCACACGGAGGCCGCCCGCAAAGUCUGGGGCCAUUCCGAGUCCGGCGGACGAACUUCGCCCACGCCCCCCACCAAGGCUAUAGCCCACCCGUUUUUUGGCCAUUUUUCCGCUGGGGGGUCUUGGCGCCCCGACCUUCGGGGGCUGAUUUUUGGGCGCGGGUGUGCCCGUGGCCUAUUUUUGGCACACGGAGGCCGCCCGCAAAGUCUGGGGCCAUUCCGAGUCCGGCGGACGAACUUCGCCCACGCCCCCCACCAAGGCUAUAGCCCACCCGUUUUUUGGCCAUUUUUCCGCUGGGGGGUCUUGGCUCCCCGACCUUCGGGGGCUGAUUUUUGGGCGCGGGUGUGCCCGUGGCCUAUUUUUGGCACACGGAGGCCGCCCGCAAAGUCUGGGGCCAUUCCGAGUCCGGCGGACGAACUUCGCCCACGCCCCCCACCAAGGCUAUAGCCCACCCGUUUUUUGGCCAUUUUUCCGCUGGGGGGUCUUGGCGCCCCGACCUUCGGGGGCUGAUUUUUGGGCGCGGGUGUGCCCGUGGCCUAUUUUUGGCACACGGAGGCCGCCCGCAAAGUCUGGGGCCAUUCCGAGUCCGGCGGACGAACUUCGCCCACGCCCCGCACCAAGGCUAUAGCCCACCCGUUUUUUGGCCAUUUUUCCGCUGGGGGGUCUUGGCGCCCCGACCUUCGGGGGCUGAAUUUUGGGCGCGGGUGUGCCCGUGGCCUAUUUUUGGCACACGGAGGCCGCCCGCAAAGUCUGGGGCCAUUCCGAGUCCGGCGGACGAACUUCGCCCACGCCCCCCACCAAGGCUAUAGCCCACCCGUUUUUUGGCCAUUUUUCCGCUGGGGGGUCUUGGCGCCCCGACCUUCGGGGGCUGAUUUUUGGGCGCGGCUGUGCCCGUGGCCUAUUUUUGGCACACGGAGGCCGCCCGCAAAGUCUGGGGCCAUUCCGAGUCCGGCGGACGAACUUCGCCCACCACCCCCACCAAGGCUAUAGCCCACCCGUUUUUUGGCCAUUUAUCCGCUGGGGGGUCUUGGCGCCCCGACCUUCGGGGGCUGAAUUUUGGGCGCGGGUGUGCCCGUGGCCUAUUUUUGGCACACGGAGGCCGCCCGCAAAGUCUGGGGCCAUUCCGAGUCCGGCGGACGAACUUCGCCCACGCCCCCCACCAAGGCUAUAGCCCACCCGUUUUUUGGCCAUUUUUCCGCUGGGGGGUCUUGGCGCCCCGACCUUCGGGGGCUGAUUUUUGGGCGCGGGUGUGCCCGUGGCCUAUUUUUGGCACACGGAGGCCGCCCGCAAAGUCUGGGGCCAUUCCGAGUCCGGCGGACGAACUUCGCCCACGCCCCCCACCAAGGCUAUAGCCCACCCGUUUUUUGGCCAUUUUUCCGCUGGGGGGUCUUGGCUCCCCGACCUUCGGGGGCUGAUUUUUGGGCGCGGGUGUGCCCGUGGCCUAUUUUUGGCACACGGAGGCCGCCCGCAAAGUCUGGGGCCAUUCCGAGUCCGGCGGACGAACUUCGCCCACGCCCCCCACCAAGGCUAUAGCCCACCCGUUUUUUGGCCAUUUUUCCGCUGGGGGGUCUUGGCGCCCCGACCUUCGGGGGCUGAAUUUUGGGCGCGGGUGUGCCCGUGGCCUAUUUUUUGCACACGGAGGCCGCCCGCAAAGUCUGGGGCCAUUCCGAGUCCGGCGGACGAACUUCGCCCACGCCCCCCACCAAGGCUAUAGCCCACCCGUUUUUUGGCCAUUUUUCCGCUGGGGGGUCUUGGCGCCCCGACCUUCGGGGGCUGAAUUUUGGGCGCGGGUGUGCCCGUGGCCUAUUUUUGGCACACGGAGGCCGCCCGCAAAGUCUGGGGCCAUUCCGAGUCCGGCGGACGAACUUCGCCCACGCCCCCCACCAAGGCUAUAGCCCACCCGUUUUUUGGCCAUUUUUCCGCUGGGGGGUCUUGGCGCCCCGACCUUCAGGGGCUGAUUUUUGGGCGCGGGUGUGCCCGUGGCCUAUUUUUGGCAAACGGAGGCCGCCCGCAGAGUCUGGGGCCAUUCCGAGUCCGGCGGACGAGCUUCGCCCACGCCCCCCACCAAGGCUAUAGCCCACCCGUUUUUUGGCCAUUUUUCCGCUGGGGGGUCUUGGCGCCCCGACCUUCGGGGGCUGAUUUUUGGGCGCGGGUGUGCCCGUGGCCUAUUUUUGGCACACGGAGGCCGCCCGCAAAGUCUGGGGCCAUUCCGAGUCCGGCGGACGAACUUCGCCCACGCCCCCCACCAAGGCUAUAGCCCACCCGUUUUUUGGCCAUUUUUCCGCUGGGGGGUCUUGGCGCCCCGACCUUCGGGGGCUGAUUUUUGGGCGCGGGUGUGCCCGUGGCCUAUUUUUGGCAUACGGAGGCCGCCCGCAAAGUCUGGGGCCAUUCCGAGUCCGGCGGACGAACUUCGCCCACGCCCCCCACCAAGGCUAUAGCCCACCCGUUUUUUGGCCAUUUUUCCGCUGGGGGGUCUUGGCUCCCCGACCUUCGGGGGCUGAUUUUUGGGCGCGGGUGUGCCCGUGGCCUAUUUUUGGCACACGGAGGCCGCCCGCAAAGUCUGGGGCCAUUCCGAGUCCGGCGGACGAACUUCGCCCACGCCCCCCACCAAGGCUAUAGCCCACCCGUUUUUUGGCCAUUUUUCCGCUGGGGGGUCUUGGCGCCCCGACCUUCGGGGGCUGAAUUUUGGGCGCGGGUGUGCCCGUGGCCUAUUUUUGGCACACGGAGGCCGCCCGCAAAGUCUGGGGCCAUUCCGAGUCCGGCGGACGAACUUCGCCCACGCCCCCCACCAAGGCUAUAGCCCACCCGUUUUUUGGCCAUUUUUCCGCUGGGGGGACUUGGCUCCCCGACCUUCGGGGGCUGAUUUUUGGGCGCGGGUGUGCCCGUGGCCUAUUUUUGGCACACGGAGGCCGCCCGCAAAGUCUGGGGCCAUUCCGAGUCCGGCGGACGAACUUCGCCCACGCCCCCCACCAAGGCUAUAGCCCACCCGUUUUUUGGCCAUUUUUCCGCUGGGGGGUCUUGGCGCCCCGACCUUCGGGGGCUGAAUUUUGGGCGCGGGUGUGCCCGUGGCCUAUUUUUGGCACACGGAGGCCGCCCGCAAAGUCUGGGGCCAUUCCGAGUCCGGCGGACGAACUUCGCCCACGCCCCCCACCAAGGCUAUAGCCCACCCGUUUUUUGGCCAUUUUUCCGCUGGGGGGUCUUGGCGCCCCGACCUUCGGGGGCUGAAUUUUGGGCGCGGGUGUGCCCGUGGCCUAUUUUUGGCACACGGAGGCCGCCCGCAAAGUCUGGGGCCAUUCCGAGUCCGGCGGACGAACUUCGCCCACGCCCCCCACCAAGGCUAUAGCCCACCCGUUUUUUGGCCAUUUUUCCGCUGGGGGGUCUUGGCGCCCCGACCUUCGGGGGCUGAAUUUUGGGCGCGGGUGUGUCCGUGGCCUAUUUUUGGCACACGGAGGCCGCCCGCAAAGUCUGGGGCCAUUCCGAGUCCGGCGGACGAACUUCGCCCACGCCCCCCACCAAGGCUAUAGCCCACCCGUUUUUUGGCCAUUUUUCCGCUGGGGGGUCUUGGCGCCCCGACCUUCGGGGGCUGAAUUUUGGGCGCGGGUGUGCCCGUGGCCUAUUUUUGGCACACGGAGGCCGCCCGCAAAGUCUGGGGCCAUUCCGAGUCCGGCGGACGAGCUUCGCCCACACCCCCCACCAAGGCUAUAGCCCACCCGUUUUUUGGCCAUUUUUCCGCUGGGGGGUCUUGGCGCCCCGACCUUCGGGGGCUGAAUUUUGGGCGCGGGUGUGCCCGUGGCCUAUUUUUGGCACACGGAGGCCGCCCGCAAAGUCUGGGGCCAUUCCGAGUCCGGCGGACGAACUUCGCCCACGCCCCCCACCAAGGCUAUAGCCCACCCGUUUUUUGGCCAUUUUUCCGCUGGGGGGUCUUGGCGCCCCGACCUUCGGGGGCUGAUUUUUGGGCGCGGGUGUGCCCGUGGCCUAUUUUUGGCACACGGAGGCCGCCCGCAAAGUCUGGGGCCAUUCCGAGUCCGGCGGACGAACUUCGCCCACGCCCCCCACCAAGGCUAUAGCCCACCCGUUUUUUGGCCAUUUUUCCGCUGGGGGGUCUUGGCGCCCCGACCUUCGGGGGCUGAAUUUUGGGCGCGGGUGUGCCCGUGGCCUAUUUUUGGCACACGGAGGCCGCCCGCAAAGUCUGGGGCCAUUCCGAGUCCGGCGGACGAACUUCGCCCACGCCCCCCACCAAGGCUAUAGCCCACCCGUUUUUUGGCCAUUUUUCCGCUGGGGGGUCUUGGCGCCCCGACCUUCGGGGGCUGAAUUUUGGGCGCGGGUGUGCCCGUGGCCUAUUUUUGGCACACGGAGGCCGCCCGCAAAGUCUGGGGCCAUUCCGAGUCCGGCGGACGAACUUCGCCCACGCCCACCACCAAGGCUAUAGCCCACCCGUUUUUUGGCCAUUUUUCCGCUGGGGGGUCUUGGCGCCCCGACCUUCGGGGGCUGAAUUUUGGGCGCGGGUGUGCCCGUGGCCUAUUUUUGGCACACGGAGGCCGCCCGCAAAGUCUGGGGCCAUUCCGAGUCCGGCGGACGAGCUUCGCCCACGCCCCCCACCAAGGCUAUAGCCCACCCGUUUUUUGGCCAUUUUUCCGCUGGGGGGUCUUGGCGCCCCGACCUUCGGGGGCUUAAUUUUGGGCGCGGGUGUGCCCGUGGCCUAUUUUUGGCACACGGAGGGCGCCCGCAAAGUCUGGGGCCAUUCCGAGUCCGGCGGACGAACUUCGCCCACGUCCCCCACCAAGGCUAUAGCCCACCCAUUUUUUGGCCAUUUUUCCGCUGGGGGGUCUUGGCGCCCCGACCUUCGGGGGCUGAUUUUUGGGCGCGGGUGUGCCCGUGGCCUAUUUUUGGCACACGGAGGCCGCCCGCAAAGUCUGGGGCCAUUCCGAGUCCGGCGGACGAACUUCGCCCACGCCCCCCACCAAGGCUAUAGCCCACCCGUUUUUUGGCCAUUUUUCCGCUGGGGGGUCUUGGCGCCCCGACCUUCGGGGGCUGAUUUUUGGGCGCGGGUGUGCCCGUGGCCUAUUUUUGGCACACGGAGGCCGCCCGCAAAGUCUGGGGCCAUUCCGAGUCCGGCGGACGAACUUCGCCCACGCCCCCCACCAAGGCUAUAGCCCACCCGUUUUUUGGCCAUUUUUCCGCUGGGGGGUCUUGGCGCCCCGACCUUCGGGGGCUGAUUUUUGGGCGCGGGUGUGCCCGUGGCCUAUUUUUGGCACACGGAGGCCGCCCGCAAAGUCUGGGGCCAUUCCGAGUCCGGCGGACGAGCUACGCCCACGCCCCCCACCAAGGCUAUAGCCCACCCAUUUUUUGGCCAUUUUUCCGCUGGGGGGUCUUUGCGCCCCGACCUUCGGGGGCUGAAUUUUGGGCGCGGGUGUGCCCGUGGCCUAUUUUUGGCACACGGAGGCCGCCCGCAAAGUCUGGGGCCAUUCCGAGUCCGGCGGACGAACUUCGCCCACGCCCCCCACCAAGGCUAUAGCCCACCCGUUUUUUGGCCAUUUUUCCGCUGGGGGGUCUUGGCGCCCCGACCUUCGGGGGCUGAUUUUUGGGCGCGGGUGUGCCCGUGGCCUAUUUCGGGCACACGGAGGCCGCCCGCAAAGUCGGGGGCCAUUUCGAGUCCGGCGGACGAACUUCGCCCACGCCCCCCACCAAGGCUAUAGCCCACCCGUUUUUUGGCCAUUUUUCCGCUGGGGGGUCUUGGCGCCCCGACCUUCGGGGGCUGAAUUUUGGGCGCGGGUGUGCCCGUGGCCUAUUUUUGGCACACGGAGGCCGCCCGCAAAGUCUGGGGCCAUUCCGAGUCCGGCGGACGAACUUCGCCCACGCCCCCCACCAAGGCUAUAGCCCACCCGUUUUUUGGCCAUUUUUCCGCUGGGGGGUUUUGGCACCACGACCUUCGCGCGCUUAUUUCUGGGCGCGGCUUUGCCCGCGGCUUAUUUUUGGCACCCCGAGGCCCCUCGCAAAGUCUCGCCCCAUUCCGAGUCCGGCGGACGAACUUCGCCCGCGCCCCCCACCAAGGCUAUAGCCCACCCGUUUUUUGGCCAUUUUUCCGCUGGGGGGUUUUGGCACCACGACCUUCGCGCGCUUAUUUCUGGGCGCGGCUUUGCCCGCGGCUUAUUUUUGGCACCCCGAGGCCCCUCGCAAAGUCUCGCCGCAUUCCGAGUCCGGCGGACGAACGUCGCCCGCGCCCCCCACCAAGUCUAUAGCCCACCCGUUUUUUGGCCAUUUUUCCGCUCGGGGGUUUUGGCACCACGACCUUCGGGCGCUUAUUUUUGGGCGCGGCUUUGCCCGCGGCUUAUUUUUGGCACCCCGAGGCCCCUCGCAAAGUCUCGCCCCAUUCCGAGUCCGGCGGACGAACUUCGCCCGCGCCCCCCACCAAGGCUAUAGCCCACCCGUUUUUUGGCCAUUUUUCCGCUGGGGGGUCUUGGCGCCCCGACCUUCGGGGGCUGAUUUUUGGGCGCGGGUGUGCCCGUGGCCUAUUUUUGGCACACGGAGGCCGCCCGCAAAGUCUGGGGCCAUUCCGAGUCCGGCGGACGAACUUCGCCCACGCCCCCCACCAAGGCUAUAGCCCACCCGUUUUUUGGCCAUUUUUCCGCUGGGGGGUCUUGGCGCCCCGACCUUCGGGGGCUGAAUUUUGGGCGCGGGUGUGCCCGUGGCCUAUUUUUGGCACACGGAGGCCGCCCGCAAAGUCUGGGGCCAUUCCGAGUCCGGCGGACGAACUUCGCCCACGCCCCCCACCAAGGCUAUAGCCCACCCGUUUUUUGGCCAUUUUUCCGCUGGGGGGUCUUGGCGCCCCGACCUUCGGGGGCUGAAUUUUGGGCGCGGGUGUGCCCGUGGCCUAUUUUUGGCACACGGAGGCCGCCCGCAAAGUCUGGGGCCAUUCCGAGUCCGGCGGACGAACUUCGCCCACGCCCCCCACCAAGGCUAUAGCCCACCCGUUUUUUGGCCAUUUUUCCGCUGGGGGGUCUUGGCGCCCCGACCUUCGGGGGCUGAAUUUUGGGCGCGGGUGUGCCCGUGGCCUAUUUUUGGCACACGGAGGCCGCCCGCAAAGUCUGGGGCCAUUCCGAGUCCGGCGGACGAACUUCGCCCACGCCCCCCACCAAGGCUAUAGCCCACCCGUUUUUUGGCCAUUUUUCCGCUGGGGGGUCUUGGCGCCCCGACCUUCGGGGGCUGAUUUUUGGGCGCGGGUGUGCCCGUGGCCUAUUUUUGGCACACGGAGGCCGCCCGCAAAGUCUGGGGCCAUUCCGAGUCCGGCGGACGAACUUCGCCCACGCCCCCCACCAAGGCUAUAGCCCACCCGUUUUUUGGCCAUUUUUCCGCUGGGGGGUCUUGGCGCCCCGACCUUCGGGGACUGAUUUUUGGGCGCGGCUGUGCCCGUGGCCUAUUUUUGGCACACGGAGGCCGCCCGCAAAGUCUGGGGCCAUUCCGAGUCCGGCGGACGAACUUCGCCCACGCCCCCCACCAAGGCU